UCUGCUGUUGUUUCUUCCAAAAAAAACCCCACGAACCAGUCUAAAAAAGAAAACUCCCUGGCGUGUGCCUAUAGAUCGUUCAUUAGCAUGACAUUACCGGCUGUGGGGAAACGCCAAGGUUUGAGUGCCCGGAGCAAAGCCAGGUCUUGCUGCUCAUAUUCUACACGCAAAAUGUCUCUCCUGGCCUCGCAGCAUGUUAUUUUUGCUCGGUGACUGCUUGCUCGGUCGCUUUGGGGAGGGUGGCACAGGAUGGUUCCUCCAGGCUUCCACCCGUCACAGCUCGGAGUCUCCUUCGGGGAUGUGGUUGUUCCAUUUUGCUGUGCUCUGUUUUAGAAAAUCCCCCAAUAUUGACCCAAAGCAGCGUAAGCUCAGGUGCUUCUUGACGUUGGAGCAAGCUGCUGGUCUGCAGGCGAUUUCCCUUUGGUGACGAGCGGUGAGUAACGAUUCAUUAGGGAGCAGGGUGGGUUCGGGCACUGUGCACUUGGUGUUUUAUGGUGACCCAUCAACUGUCAGCCCUUACUUAGGGGCUUUUUUUCCUCUUCUUGAAUCCUCUAACACUGACCCCCCCGGGAAUAUUUUUGGUUGCCACACAGCAUCCUCAGCUCCUUGUGUUGGGGGUUUUGAGGCUAAUGAGAGACCUGUGCCAAGAAGGAAAGGGGGAUGCAGUGAGACCCCUCAGAAUCCGGUAGAUUCGUUAGCUCAGGCUCACCCGGGGAGGUUCUCCUCUUUUUCCAUUAAACAGAACAAAGCCAGUCCUACAAUCUUCCAGUAUCUAGGAAAGAUGCUGGCAUCUGGAUCUAGGAGAGAUGCCUAGCUCCUUGAAGUAGGAGACCUGCGGUGACCAAGGCACCACGUAAGAGGCAAAACUGGCCAUGAACAGCCAUUUUUGGGGACUGGCUUUAAACCUGGGAUAAAGUGACCUCAGCAUGUGUACCAUGGCCACAGCGUCGCACACUUGACAGCCCACCCCAGAGGGGCCUGUGCGAAACCAUUGCUUUUUCCCCACAGAGGAAUCGGCAGAGAAUUUUUUUCCAGUUGAAACCACCGAAGCUGCUUCUGGUUUUGCCGCAGCCGCUGGUGGAGCUGUUUCUCACACAGGGCUGAGCUGACUUUGUCAGUGCCGUGCGGAUGCGCAGGGAUGCUGGUCUGCGGCAGCCGCUCCAGCCAUCGCCUGACAUCCCCCAGAAAGGAGCACGAUCUGAUUGCUGGUGCAAUCAGGUGUACGGAAGAAUUGUUUAAAUUUUUUAAAAAAGCAAAUAAUAGUGAUUUUAUCAGAGGCAAUGGAUUUGGCAGCUGAGUAGGAGCCCGUAGGAAACAGAGCUGGCUGAGUGCUUCUGUGGUGAGACAGGUAAAUUAAUACAGCCCGACAAAUAAAUCGCCAACUUUUGGCCCCAGAAUUAAUGCUUGUUUGAAGUGAGUCUGAUAUCAUUGCAUAUGACUUGCCUGGUUACACAUGCAGCUUUUCAGAGUCAACAGCCGGCUGGUUUUGGGCUACGAUGGUCUCCGGCCGACUGGGGAGGAGGGCAGUGCUCUCGCCCCGAGCCAGCCCCGGGAGCCGUAAUGCCAUUUUACUGACCCUCCUGCGACCGUGAAUUCAAGUCCUGGUUUUCCAGGACAAGGACUAACAGCCCUGGUGCACUUUUCCUGCAGGAUCCUUCGCUGGCUACUCUCCCUGCAUAAGCACUUGCCUGCAACCAAGGUACGUUUUAGCCUUUGCUGGGACGACUCCACAGCUCUGCAUGUCUUUCUCUCGUUGCAAGGCUGGCUCUCCACACCUUGGCUUUCUCCAGCCCCUCUCUUCUGAACUCCUUUCCCAACAGGGUGAUCCGGAGGGCAAUGGUGCCACUAAUGAUGCAUAAUAUCAUCUCCCUGCCUGUGCCAUCCCAGCCAGGAGCACGGCACCCAUGGGAGCUGCUUGCAAGGGCUACAAACAGCCCGCGGGGGUCAAACCUGCCUGCACCUCCUAUGCCAAGGAUAAAAAUUCGUUUCUUGUUAAGACAAGAUCCUUCUUAACAUGUUCCUGGGUGGAGCUGAGCCUGCUGCAGGGCAGAGCCAUAACGUAGGGAGCUGAAGUCUACGCCGUGCUCUGGGGGGAGCAGAAAUGGGGGUGCAAGGAGACCCGCACAGCGGAUGCUCGAGCAAGCACCAUAUAUACAAACCUGUACAAACGGAGCAGCAAAUCAGCGGUGUUGCAAGACAGUGAGACCUUCCCCACAAAGCGCCUGCCAGCGGAGUGGAGAUGGCAAGAAAUACGUGUUGCAAACUUUCUGCUGAGUUACAGAGAAUCAGCCGGCGAUUGCAGCAGGCAAGAAUUUGUGACAACCAUCUGAGCUCCCGCAGAAGCAGAGCCACUCCAGUGAUGUGCGCCGUGCUCAGCCCUCGCCUUGGGGAUUUCAUCCUUUCCUCCAGGUUUCCCAUCCUUAAUUUGUUUCCCGCUGUGGUUUGCCACCCCCGGCUCUCGGGGUGCAGGCGAUGCUGUGAGGGCUCCUGUGCUACUCCAGGAACAUACUCCUAGGCUCUUUUUCCCCUCCCUAAAAAAUAACACUUGUAGAUGAGGAAUAAGCAAGGCCCAGGGCAAGAAUAGGAAUCACCCGUGAAUAAACCCAGGGUUGGUGCAAGGGGAACUAGGACCACAAAUGAACAUUAUAGCGCGAAUCAGGAGUUAAUGAUUGUGGUUUGGUGAUGUGCUCAAGAGCAGAACGUUUCUCUGCCCCAUCCUCCAGCCAUUAAAACUUUAAGCUGGAGCGGGGCGGGGGGGGGAAGUCUCUGAUCUCCUGCUCUGGGUGGACUGCCUUAUCUUGGAUGUGCAGCUGGAACCUGAAGGAAAACCGAACCCUCUGGCGAUGGGGUGCUAACUCCAGGGUGAGGACAUUCAUUGCCCUGCCUGGCGGGGAAGAGGGGUCACCUCCUGCUGCUGCACCCCACUCUGGUGUGGCCGAAGCUGCAGGGCUGUGCUUUAUUUAAAAGGUAGAAUAAAUGCUGCUGAGGGGCACCAGGCUGCAUCUUCCAGCCCACCGUCUUUAACUCAGCAUCAUGCUGGCGGCGGCUAAGUGGAAGCUGUCCCUAUCUGUGCCCCUGAGCUCUUCAGGCCAUCUUGCCUGGCCUAUGGGUCACUUGAAUUAAUUGUAGGCUAUAAAAUUGGGUUUUGGACUAAGCCACCCAGUGCCUGUCUCCUCUGAGACUGCAAACCAAGAUCACGUGAGUUUAAUCCUCUCCCUGCCUUGUUACAGGUGUUUUCCCAACCCCAUGCCAGAUCUAACCAGGUCUAAGCCAGAGGGAGCACAAGAGAAACAACAGGGUUGUGGGAAAAUUGCCUGGUUUUAGGAGACUCUAUAUUUGGAUUUGACUCCCAAUCGUGGAAUGGUUGGUGUUUCUCCCCCCAAACAAACGUGUGCGUAUAUCCAGCUGCAGUACAGGGGAUUAGGGAAAAGAGAGCGGAGGAGAAGCUGGCACAGCUGAGCAGCCCCACACGCCAUGGCAGAGGGGCUCGGGGGGGUGUUUUGGGUAGUUGGGCAGUGCCUGGGAUUUCCCAUCCUGGGUCAGUGCAGGGCACAAGGUGCUAUCCAGGCAAAACUGCAACCCAUCCCCUGCCUGAGGGCAGUCUAAUUUGAUGCCCAGCUUUGGUGGAAGGAUGAUGGGGCCAGACCUCCUAUCUCAGCUGAGACUAUGUGAACUAAAUGUAAUAGAAAAUGAAAGGAGACAAUGAACCAGAUGCCGCUGGAUCUUUAUAAAGGGCACACAUCAUGUAUGAAGAGGUACGAGACCAAUAGCGGGUUGGCUACGGAGAGCGAAAAGGACUUUAGUUUAUGGGAUGGGGUAACACCGCAGUGACUGGGCAUCCCUCCACUGAGCAUCUACUAGAAGAGACUGCUGAUACGACCUAUUUCUUUUCAAACAGGGGCUUUUGCAACUCACCCCUGAUCCAUACCAGUCCGUAAGACACAGCUCAUGGUUAUCUCUACAGAAGCAGCCAAGGAGGUCUGGAGCACUUGCUAUACAGCAGAUAAGUGCACAAGGUGUUUCUGAUCAGUCACAAAUUAAGGGCCCACUCCAGUGAUUUUCGGGCCACAGUCAGCUUUAGGUGAAGAAAGUGGAAAUAAUAUUGGUGGGAGGGAGGGGAAAGGAAUUGAUGCGCUGCACCUUAGGCUAGCUAAGGUGGCUGUUGGCAGGUGCUGGUUUAGCCGAGGGAAGAAAAAGCCCUGCUGUUUGUUAAGAUUUAAGAGCUGUUGCAUCAUAAAAGCUGGGUUUGGGGGGAAGAAGGGCUGAGGGUUGUGUGGUGUUACCCUCAUUCCUGGGAGAUACACAAACAAGCAUGUCAGCAUUGCUGCCCCUGGAUUUUGUGGUCAUUGUGUGGUUUGGGGUUUUUUUAUGCAUCUGAAGGUUUUCUUCAAGCCCACCUUAUGAAGCUGCAUGAUUUCCUCAGACUUUCACCUUUCUUUUC
Molecule: long non-coding RNA, 4441 nt
Organism: Harpia harpyja (harpy eagle)
Lineage: Eukaryota; Metazoa; Chordata; Aves; Accipitriformes; Accipitridae
Exons: 4
Source: RefSeq, a predicted model, not a curated record